Peromyscus maniculatus bairdii (prairie deer mouse) is the source of this 1321-nucleotide non-coding RNA. The record is from RefSeq and is a predicted model, not a curated record. NCBI's taxonomy places the organism in Eukaryota, Metazoa, Chordata, Mammalia, Rodentia, Cricetidae.
GGCAGGGUGGAAGGAAAUCCUGAACAAGGUAAGACGGCAUGCCCAACAAACAGUACGUUGAGAAAUAUCUAUUUCCCUCUUCCAGCAUCUUCUUCCGGGAUGAAAUCUAACAUUUCAAGUGAGGGAUCAGACUAUGCGGUGCUGGGGUGAGCCUUUACCUGCUUCGAUCUGAUUGAUCUCCACCAGUCCUUGAAGCCUGUGGACCAAAGCUGUUCUGGUGCGCGGGGACACCCUGCGGGGAAAGCCGUGUGAGCAGCGCCGGCCUCUGGGCUCCAUCGCCCUCGUCCUGCAUGUAGAGAGGAUCCCUGGAGAGGUCACGCCGCGUUCCCAGAGAUGUGACCCCAGCUGUCUGCUCAUGCGCGCUCCCGGGACCCCGGCGCCCGGCCGCCCGGCGCUGCCGCGGCUGCUGCCCGGGUUGCCCGGGUUGCUGCUACUGUUGCUGCUGCUGCUGAGCGCUUCGGGACGGGCAGUUCCCAGAGCAAACCACAUGUCCAGGAUCCAUCCUUGCAGCUCACCUCAGUGUGACUCUCGCAGGGAGGUCGUCUCUUAAUCUCCAAUGUGGAAGCAGCCUUCACAGGACUUACUGGUCAUCCCACCCAACUGCUACUUCUUUGAAUCACCCCCUACAGCAUCAGUCCAGGGAAAUUAAUUACCUGUGCCCUGCUGGAGAACCUCUCACCACAGGAAACUCACUACCAGCACCCAGAUAGGCAAGAUGCCCCCGCCAACUACUAAAAAGUCCUUCCGUAAACUAGCAAAGCACUUGGUGCUUGCUAUUUUCAUCCAUUGUUUGUAUUUAUUUUGAGCUGAAAAAGCCCCCAUAGGAUAAGGAAAAUGUGUUGGUAUUGGGGGUGCAGCUGUCACGUUUCAGCUGCCUCUUUGGUCUCUGCUCACGGCCUCUUACGUGAUAUCUGUGCCAUGUCCCUUCCCUGUGUUGUUUCCAUGAUGUCUCCCAAGGUGUGUGACUUCUUGGGCUGGCUCCCUACAGAGCUCGAUGGAAUGGCUAACUUACCAAACGCGGAAGUUUUGUGAACAUGUCAGACCUGGAAGUCUGCACUGAGAAGGUUGAGAGGAGAUAUGAGGUCUUCUCCUAUGCUUUCCAUAUCAUAAACGUGAAGGACAGCCACCGUGGGCUCUCAACAAAGACUGCUAGUGUUUAACAUCUUGCAUCUGGGAAGCUCUCUCCUCAGACCCCUGCCUCCCAUCUCUUCAGUUAACUGCUCCAAAUAUGUGUGAGGCAAAACUGCCCAUUUUAUUCCAACCCAGCUCUCCCUCCAUUUUAUAUUAAAAAUAUAUAUGUUGCAGAAUGUCUGCUAAAUUA